GAAAUGCGAUAAGUAGUGUGAAUUGCAGAAUUCAGUGAAUCAUCGAAUCUUUGAACGCACAUUGCGCCCAUUGGCAUUCCUUUGGGCAUGCCUGUUCGAGCGUCAUUUAACCCUUCAAGCUCUGCUUGGUGUUGGGUGUCUGUCCUACCUCUUGGUUUGGACUCACCUCAAAAACAUUGGCGGCCGGUACAUUGGCUUCGAGCGCAGCAGAAACGCGAACUCAAAGACAAUGGAUCAGCUCCCAGAAGCAAACUCUUAUAUUUUGACCUCGGAUCAGGUAGGGAUACCCGCUGAACUUAA
This 300-nucleotide unclassified non-coding RNA is filed under the name uncultured fungus. RNAcentral describes it as "sequence contains ITS1". The stretch from base 1 to 105 matches the Rfam family "5.8S ribosomal RNA", at positions 50 to 154 of the family's 154-position model. The record is from RNAcentral. Lineage: Eukaryota; Fungi.